Molecule: ribosomal RNA, 518 nt
Filed under: uncultured bacterium
Lineage: Bacteria
Description: bacterial SSU rRNA
Rfam family: Bacterial small subunit ribosomal RNA
Source: RNAcentral
AAUCAACGCUGGCGGCGCGCUUAACACAUGCAAGUCGAACGAGAAAGUGGAGCAAUCCAUGAGUACAGUGGCGCACGGGUGAGUAACACGUGGGUAACCUGCCCUCGAGUGGGGAAUAACCUGGGGAAACCCGGGCUAAUACCGCAUACGUUCCUGGGAACUGAUGUUGCCGGGAGGAAAGGCGUAAGUCGCUCGAGGAGGGGCCCGCGGCCGAUUACGGUUGUUGGUAGGGUAACGGCCUACCAAGCCUGGGAUCGGUAGCCGGCCUGAGAGGGCACACGGCCACACUGGCACUGAAACACGGGCCAGACUCCUACGGGAGGCAGCAGUGGGGAAUCUUGCACAAUGGGGGCAACCCUGAUGCAGCGACGCCGCGUGAGUGAUGAAGCCCUUCGGGGCGUAAAGCUCUUUUGACGGGGACAAUUAUGAUGGUACCCGUCGAAUAAGCUGCGGCUAACUACGUGCCAGCAGCCGCGGUAAUACGUAGGCAGCAAGCGUUGUUCGGAAUUACUGGGACG